GAAGAUGCCACAGCAAACCUCUGAGCAACCAAGAUGACAAGCACCUGCUUGGAAAAGGUGACAAGCCACAAGGCCAUAGGCCCAGUUAUAAGGAUGAAUUGUGUUACACGAAUGGUUAUAAACCUGACCGACCUCAGAAGGUAUAUGGAGGAGGCAAUUAUCAAGCCCCUUGAUGGUCUGUGGCUGGAUGCACCAUACUUUGCCAACGGUGUGAGCAUGGCAGAGAAUGUAGGUGUGUAUAUAGGGGAAAACCUCCAGAAAGUUUUUUCUGUGGGAGUUCUUUGUAA
This 287-nucleotide long non-coding RNA is filed under the name Homo sapiens (human). RNAcentral describes it as "non-protein coding lnc-FOXD4L5-46:2". The record is from RNAcentral. Lineage: Eukaryota; Metazoa; Chordata; Mammalia; Primates; Hominidae.